Molecule: ribosomal RNA, 496 nt
Filed under: uncultured Glomus
Lineage: Eukaryota; Fungi; Glomeromycota; Glomeromycetes; Glomerales; Glomeraceae
Description: SSU rRNA
Rfam family: Eukaryotic small subunit ribosomal RNA
Source: RNAcentral
AGCAGCCGCGGUAAUUCCAGCUCCAAUAGCGUAUAUUAAAGUUGUUGCAGUUAAAAAGCUCGUAGUUGAAUUUCGAGACCGGCUUACUGGUCGUGCUAUUGUACGUACUGGUAUAACCGGUUUCUCCUUUCUGACGAACUUUAAUGCCAUUAAUUUGGUGUUUUAGGGAAUCAGGACUGUUACUUUGAAAAAAUUAGAGUGUUUAAAGCAGGCUCACGCUUGAAUACAUUAGCAUGGAAUAACGGAAUAGGACGUUUGAUUCUAUUUUGUUGGUUUCUAGGAUCGACGUAAUGAUUAAUAGGGAUAGUUGGGGGCAUUAGUAUUCAAUUGUCAGAGGUGAAAUUCUUGGAUUUAUUGAAGACUAACUACUGCGAAAGCAUUUGCCAAGGAUGUUUUCAUUAAUCAAGAACGAAGUUAGGGGAUCGAAGACGAUCAGAUACCGUCGUAGUCUUAACCAUAAACUAUGCCGACUAGGGAUCGGAUGAUGUUAAUUUUU